GACGAACGCUGGCGGCGUGCUUAACACAUGCAAGUCGAACGGAAAGGCCCUGCUUUUGUGGGGUGCUCGAGUGGCGAACGGGUGAGUAACACGUGAGUAACCUGCCCUUGACUUUGGGAUAACUUCAGGAAACUGGGGCUAAUACCGGAUAGGAGCUCCUGCUGCAUGGUGGGGGUUGGAAAGUUUCGGCGGUUGGGGAUGGACUCGCGGCUUAUCAGCUUGUUGGUGGGGUAGUGGCUUACCAAGGCUUUGACGGGUAGCCGGCCUGAGAGGGUGACCGGCCACAUUGGGACUGAGAUACGGCCCAGACUCCUACGGGAGGCAGCAGUGGGGAAUAUUGCACAAUGGGCGGAAGCCUGAUGCAGCAACGCCGCGUGCGGGAUGACGGCCUCCGGGUUGUAAACCGCUUUCGCCUGUGACGAAGCGUGAGUGACGGUAAUGGGGAAAGAAGCACCGGCUAACUACGU
Molecule: ribosomal RNA, 467 nt
Filed under: uncultured bacterium
Lineage: Bacteria
Description: partial 16S ribosomal RNA
Rfam family: Bacterial small subunit ribosomal RNA
Source: RNAcentral